AACAGUGUUAGACCUGGAUUUGGU
This 24-nucleotide non-coding RNA is filed under the name Cricetulus griseus (Chinese hamster). The record is from RNAcentral. Lineage: Eukaryota; Metazoa; Chordata; Mammalia; Rodentia; Cricetidae.